Molecule: ribosomal RNA, 193 nt
Filed under: Nostoc sp. HG1
Lineage: Bacteria; Bacillati; Cyanobacteriota; Cyanophyceae; Nostocales; Nostocaceae
Description: partial 23S ribosomal RNA
Rfam family: Bacterial large subunit ribosomal RNA
Source: RNAcentral
GUGAUGGAGCGAGAUAAGGGCGUUCGGUGGAUGCCUUGGCGCCAAGAGGCGAAGAAGGACGUGGCACGCUGCGAUAAGCCGUGGGGAGAUGCGAGCGAUCGAUGAUCCGCGGAUGUCCGAAUGGGGAAACCCACCCGUGAGGGUAUUGCAUCCUGAAUACAUAGGGGUGUGAGGCGAACCCGGGGAACUGAAA